GCACUGAUGGAGAGUCCCACAAUAGGACGAAAUGGUCAUCCAGUGC
Molecule: non-coding RNA, 46 nt
Filed under: Schistosoma curassoni
Lineage: Eukaryota; Metazoa; Platyhelminthes; Trematoda; Strigeidida; Schistosomatidae
Source: RNAcentral